GAACGCUAGCGGCAGGCAACCUACAUGCAUGUCGAGCGGUAGCACAAAAGGGAGCUUGCUCUUUGGGUGACGAGCGGCGGAUUGGUGAGUAAUGUCUGGGAAACUGCCUGAUGGAGGGGAUAACUACUGGAUUACGGUAGCUAAUACCGCAUGACCUCGCAAGAGCAAAGUGGGGGACCUUCAAGCCUCACGCCAUCGGAUGUGCCCAGAUGGGAUUAGCUAGUAGGUGGGGUAAUGGCUCACCUAGGGACAAAUCCCUAGCUGGUCUGAGAGGAUGACCAGCCACACUGGAACUGAGACACAAUCCAGACUCCUACGGGAGGCAGCAGUGGGGAAUAUUGCACAAUGGGCGCAAGCCUGAUUUCAGCCAUGCCGCGUGUGUGAAGAAGGCCUUAGGGUUGUAAAGCACUUUCAGCGAGGAGGUUAGACGUUACUCAUUGGCAGAAGCACCGGCUAACUCCGUGCCAGCAGCCGCGGUAAUACGGAGCGUGCAAGCGUUAAUCGGAAUUACUGGGCGUUAAGGCGUUGUAGUUAAUAGCUGCAGCGAUUGCGCACGCAGGCGGUUUGUUAAGUCAGAUGUGAAAUCCCCGAGCUUAACUUGGGAAUUAGACCGAAACUGGCAAGCUAGAGUCUUGUAGAGGGUUGUAGAAUUCCAGGUGUAGCGGUGAAAUGCGUAGAGAUCUGGAGGGGUGGCAAUACCGAAGGCGGCCCUUUGGACAAAGACGGCGCUCAGGUGCGAAAGCGUGGGGAGCAAACAGGAUUAGAUACCCUGGUAGUCCACGCUGUAAUUGAUGUCGACUUGGAGGUUGUGCCCUUGAGGCGUGGCUUCCGGAGCUAACGCGUUAAGUCGACUGCCUGGGGAGUACGGCCGCAAGGUUAAUUCUCAAAUGAAUUGACGGGGGCCCGCACAAGCUUGUGGAGCAUGUGGUUUAAUUCGAUGCAACGCGAAGAACCAAACCUACUCAUGACAUCCACGGAAUUCGCUUAGAGAUAGCAUAGUGCCUUCGGGAACCGUGAGACAGGUGAUGCAUGGCUGUCGUCAGCUCGUGUUGUGAUAUGUUGGGUUAAGUCCCGCAACGAGCGCAACCCUUAUCCUAAGUUGCCAGCACGUAAUGUUGGGAACUCAAAGGAGACUGCCGGUGAUAAUCCGGAGGAAGGUGGGGAUGACGUCAAGUCAUCAUGGCCCUUACGAGUAUUGCUACACACGUGCUACAAUGGCAUAUACUAAGAGAAGCAAACUCGCGAGAGCAAGCGGACCUCAUAAAAUUUGUCGUAGUCCGGAUUGGAGUCUGCAACUCGACUCCAUGAAGUCGGUUUCGCUAGUAAUCGUAGAUCAGAAUGCUACGGUGAAUACGUCCCGGGCCUUGUACACACCGCCCGUCACAUUAUGGGAGUGGGUUGCAAAAGAAGUAGGUAGCUUAACCUUCGGGAGGGCGCUUACCACUUUGUGAUUCAUGACUGGGGUGAAGUCGU
Molecule: ribosomal RNA, 1473 nt
Filed under: Rahnella sp. PTRah-1
Lineage: Bacteria; Pseudomonadati; Pseudomonadota; Gammaproteobacteria; Enterobacterales; Yersiniaceae
Description: 16S ribosomal RNA
Rfam family: Bacterial small subunit ribosomal RNA
Source: RNAcentral